RNAcentral lists this ribosomal RNA (3028 nucleotides) under Salmonella enterica subsp. enterica serovar Anatum. RNAcentral describes it as "23S ribosomal RNA". It matches the Rfam family "Bacterial large subunit ribosomal RNA". The record is from RNAcentral. RNAcentral also lists the same sequence under 4 other names. Lineage: Bacteria; Pseudomonadati; Pseudomonadota; Gammaproteobacteria; Enterobacterales; Enterobacteriaceae.
GGGUUGUGAGGUUAAGCGACUAAGCGUACACGGUGGAUGCCCUGGCAGUCAGAGGCGAUGAAGGGCGUGCUAAUCUGCGAUAAGCGCCGGUAAGGUGAUAUGAACCGUUAUAACCGGCGAUACCCGAAUGGGGAAACCCAGUGUGACUCGUCACACUAUCAUUAACUGAAUCCAUAGGUUAAUGAGGCGAACCGGGGGAACUGAAACAUCUAAGUACCCCGAGGAAAAGAAAUCAACCGAGAUUCCCCCAGUAGCGGCGAGCGAACGGGGAGGAGCCCAGAGCCUGAAUCAGCAUGUGUGUUAGUGGAAGCGUCUGGAAAGGCGCGCGAUACAGGGUGACAGCCCCGUACACAAAAGCGCAUGUGCUGUGAGCUCGAUGAGUAGGGCGGGACACGUGGUAUCCUGUCUGAAUAUGGGGGGACCAUCCUCCAAGGCUAAAUACUCCUGACUGACCGAUAGUGAACCAGUACCGUGAGGGAAAGGCGAAAAGAACCCCGGCGAGGGGAGUGAAAAAGAACCUGAAACCGUGUACGUACAAGCAGUGGGAGCCCCACCACCAAAGCAUUCUCUGGUGUUGAAGGCCCUGCAAAGCAGCAUCGCGGUGGCGGAGCGUCGUUUGCGACGCCCAACACACAAAACAAGCGGUGAGUGCUUUGGGGUGGGGUGACUGCGUACCUUUUGUAUAAUGGGUCAGCGACUUAUAUUCUGUAGCAAGGUUAACCGUAUAGGGGAGCCGUAGGGAAACCGAGUCUUAACCGGGCGUUAAGUUGCAGGGUAUAGACCCGAAACCCGGUGAUCUAGCCAUGGGCAGGUUGAAGGUUGGGUAACACUAACUGGAGGACCGAACCGACUAAUGUUGAAAAAUUAGCGGAUGACUUGUGGCUGGGGGUGAAAGGCCAAUCAAACCGGGAGAUAGCUGGUUCUCCCCGAAAGCUAUUUAGGUAGCGCCUCGUGAAUUCAUCUUCGGGGGUAGAGCACUGUUUCGGCUAGGGGGUCAUCCCGACUUACCAACCCGAUGCAAACUGCGAAUACCGGAGAAUGUUAUCACGGGAGACACACGGCGGGUGCUAACGUCCGUCGUGAAGAGGGAAACAACCCAGACCGCCAGCUAAGGUCCCAAAGUCAUGGUUAAGUGGGAAACGAUGUGGGAAGGCCCAGACAGCCAGGAUGUUGGCUUAGAAGCAGCCAUCAUUUAAAGAAAGCGUAAUAGCUCACUGGUCGAGUCGGCCUGCGCGGAAGAUGUAACGGGGCUAAACCAUGCACCGAAGCUGCGGCAGCGACACUGUGUGUUGUUGGGUAGGGGAGCGUUCUGUAAGCCUGCGAAGGUGGCCUGUGAGGGUUGCUGGAGGUAUCAGAAGUGCGAAUGCUGACAUAAGUAACGAUAAAGCGGGUGAAAAGCCCGCUCGCCGGAAGACCAAGGGUUCCUGUCCAACGUUAAUCGGGGCAGGGUGAGUCGACCCCUAAGGCGAGGCCGAAAGGCGUAGUCGAUGGGAAACAGGUUAAUAUUCCUGUACUUGGUGUUACUGCGAAGGGGGGACGGAGAAGGCUAUGUUGGCCGGGCGACGGUUGUCCCGGUUUAAGCGUGUAGGUGUGUGUUCCAGGUAAAUCCGGUUCACUUUAACACUGAGGCGUGAUGACGAGGCACUACGGUGCUGAAGCAACAAAUGCCCUGCUUCCAGGAAAAGCCUCUAAGCAUCAGGUAACAUCAAAUCGUACCCCAAACCGACACAGGUGGUCAGGUAGAGAAUACCAAGGCGCUUGAGAGAACUCGGGUGAAGGAACUAGGCAAAAUGGUGCCGUAACUUCGGGAGAAGGCACGCUGACAUGUAGGUGAAGUGAUUUACUCAUGGAGCUGAAGUCAGUCGAAGAUACCAGCUGGCUGCAACUGUUUAUUAAAAACACAGCACUGUGCAAACACGAAAGUGGACGUAUACGGUGUGACGCCUGCCCGGUGCCGGAAGGUUAAUUGAUGGGGUCAGCGCAAGCGAAGCUCCUGAUCGAAGCCCCGGUAAACGGCGGCCGUAACUAUAACGGUCCUAAGGUAGCGAAAUUCCUUGUCGGGUAAGUUCCGACCUGCACGAAUGGCGUAAUGAUGGCCAGGCUGUCUCCACCCGAGACUCAGUGAAAUUGAACUCGCUGUGAAGAUGCAGUGUACCCGCGGCAAGACGGAAAGACCCCGUGAACCUUUACUAUAGCUUGACACUGAACAUUGAGCCUUGAUGUGUAGGAUAGGUGGGAGGCUUUGAAGUGUGGACGCCAGUCUGCAUGGAGCCGACCUUGAAAUACCACCCUUUAAUGUUUGAUGUUCUAACGUGGACCCGUGAUCCGGGUUGCGGACAGUGUCUGGUGGGUAGUUUGACUGGGGCGGUCUCCUCCUAAAGAGUAACGGAGGAGCACGAAGGUUGGCUAAUCCUGGUCGGACAUCAGGAGGUUAGUGCAAUGGCAUAAGCCAGCUUGACUGCGAGCGUGACGGCGCGAGCAGGUGCGAAAGCAGGUCAUAGUGAUCCGGUGGUUCUGAAUGGAAGGGCCAUCGCUCAACGGAUAAAAGGUACUCCGGGGAUAACAGGCUGAUACCGCCCAAGAGUUCAUAUCGACGGCGGUGUUUGGCACCUCGAUGUCGGCUCAUCACAUCCUGGGGCUGAAGUAGGUCCCAAGGGUAUGGCUGUUCGCCAUUUAAAGUGGUACGCGAGCUGGGUUUAGAACGUCGUGAGACAGUUCGGUCCCUAUCUGCCGUGGGCGCUGGAGAACUGAGGGGGGCUGCUCCUAGUACGAGAGGACCGGAGUGGACGCAUCACUGGUGUUCGGGUUGUCAUGCCAAUGGCACUGCCCGGUAGCUAAAUGCGGAAGAGAUAAGUGCUGAAAGCAUCUAAGCACGAAACUUGCCCCGAGAUGAGUUCUCCCUGAGACUUUAGGUCUCCUGAAGGAACGUUGAAGACGACGACGUUGAUAGGCCGGGUGUGUAAGCGCAGCGAUGCGUUGAGCUAACCGGUACUAAUGAACCGUGAGGCUUAACCUUACAACGCCGAAG